GCAGUAAGAAAACUUGGCACCACUUUUUCUUUGAGCGGCCAUGUUUCAAAAAACGAAAAUAUUAAUCAAUUGCUUUGUAUAAAUAUUCUUUGCUUUUGCAAAUUUAAUUAAUUGGACUUUUAAAAAAAUGACCAUAGAAGAUGACAUGGAAGCAUUUCGUGUGUGGGCUACCAAAUUGGGUUGUCCACCAGAUGCAAUACCCAGCGAAGAUGCUCUAAAAUCUGUUUUUAAAUCUCGUCAACGGGAUUACUUUUGCAAUUUAAUGCGUCGUGUCUGUCCGCGACAGGAGGUACAAGAUGUUAAGGAGAAUAUAUUGAUAAAUAAAGUGGAGAAAAUCAAAGGACUUGUUGUGCCGAUCUCUGAGCGUGCAUUUCUACCACGAGAAAUGCAAAUGCAUCUUAAGGUCCAGGAUCUAAAAAAGAAGCAAAAAGAUUUAUUGCAACGUUUUGAUGAACGCAAAAAGGAAUAUGAAGCGCUGGCCGCCACCAUUAAAACUAAAAAUAUACAUGAAAUAAAUUUGGAAAAUAAAUGCGAUAUUUUGGAGGCAAAAGUACAUAUCUUGGAUCUUAAGUCUAAAGCCUUAGAUAAAGAAAUCGAAAGAGAAGAAGAGAAUAGGGAAAAGAUAAAAGCUACAAUGCCAGUCAUAUUAAGCAAUGAGAAUAAAAGUGAAAGUAAAGCAAGCGAGGCAGUAAAUGAAGCUCUCAAAGAACUGGAAGAUUUUUAUACAUUUUGUGAAAAUAAUACUAAAGCCUCCGAAUUACAAGAAGCUAAAAACAAUUUAUGGACCAAAUUGCGUAAAAUCUUAUCCAAUAUACCAGUCUUUCUCAUUUUUAAUGCCAUUAUGCGCCUAAAAGAAGAUCAAUUGCAAUAUAUAAUGUCUUUAAAUAAAACUGCCACGAAUGAGUCGCAUUUAGCCAGCGCCACCAAUAAUCGUGAAUCUUUAACGAAUUUUGAAUUGAAUUUGAUGAAAACAAAAUCGAAAUUUUUAAGUCGUGUGGGUGAAUAUUUGUCGGCAUGUCAAGAACGUAAACGUUUGGAAGAGCAAUAUGUUAAAGCAUUUAGCGAAUUUGAAGAUAAACUUUUAGAAAAAGUCAAAAUAUUUAAUGCUGAUACAGAUUCGGAACAAAAUGAAGCCAUUAUGCGUAAUUAUGUUAUACAAUACUAUUCAUUGAAUUUUACCAAGGGUCAAAAUGAAUAUAUAGCACAACAGAUUGAAAUGCUAAAAGCGGAAAUAGAUAACUCAAAUAAACAUCUGGAUAAUCAUGAUUUUCUUCUUGGCUCUAUAAAACAAGUUUACGAUGAAAUAAGUACUUCUGUUAAUCGUUUACAAUAUGAUAUGAUGCAACUGUCACAAAUAAAAGACAAAAUUAUUUAUUCGAAAAAUAUUAUGAAACUUCAACUGGAUGAUUUAGAAGCCACCACUAAUGUUAAAUCAAGUUUCAUACCCACCAAGUUAAAACUAAACAAUAAUCAUUCCCUAUUGGGCGUUGACAGUUUUGAGAUGACUAACGACAAUGUUUUCUGUAGUACAAAAUUAGAUUUUGAUUCUACUAUUUCCCCCUUGAAUAAUUCAACGUUACGUCGAACAUUUGGAGCUGGUGAUGUUACAUUAAUGCCUCAGGCUCAAAAUAAAAUAUUGACUCCCCAUACUAUGGAAUUGAAUGCAUUUUGUGACUUAUCAUUGGAGCAUUUGUCUUGUAUAAGCAAAGAAUGUGCAUUUUAUUUAUCACCCAAUCCCUUAAUAAUUGAAUCACGUGAACUCACUUCGACAAUCCAGCUAGCUCCGGGCAUUUUAUUAACACCCUUUGGUGCUUUACAGGAAGUUCGUAAUCGUAUUUUGUGGGCGGAUUUAAUUGCACAACAUUCAAAUGAUUUGAAAAUAAAUUUGGACACAUUUUUGGUUGAUUUACAAGCCUUUAAAGUACGCGCUAAACAGCAGCAUGAUCGUAUUAUUGAAAUAUUAGACAAAAUUGAUGUUUGUUCCAUAAAUUCAUUGCGUUGUCUACAGAAAUUGACAAAAACUUAUGAUUUCUUAAUUGAAAAUCCUCUACGCCACUUUAUACCCUCAACAAAAUUGUUCAACAAUCAAUCAUAUGCUGAUUAUGAAGCUGAACUGCUCAUGUAUAUUCGUAUGGCCACAACUGGAAAUUCCAUUAAGUAAAUUAUUUAUAUUUGAAGUGGUACAAUUGGCAUGCUAAUUUUAAGGGAAUGUUUACGUUUGUAUGUUUUGUUGAGCGGCAUUUUUUUUAAGAUAUUUAAUAACGAAAACCUCAGUCCCCUUUGUAAGGAGAGAAAAAAGACAUUGAUUGGAAUUAGUUUAUAAUAGACUCAAACAACGCAAGAGCACGAUUUGGAGCAUGAUUUGAUGUGUGCAAAAAUGAUGGCGAUUUUAGCUGUUAAUACAGCGGGUAGAAAUGAAUAAAAAGAAAAAAGUUUAAAAUGUAUUUUAAAUUGUAACGC
RNA transcript from Lucilia sericata (common green bottle fly), 2460 nucleotides. It is a transcript of the gene named augmin complex subunit dgt5, with no coding region annotated. The record is from RefSeq and is a predicted model, not a curated record. The transcript is spliced from 9 exons. NCBI's taxonomy places the organism in Eukaryota, Metazoa, Arthropoda, Insecta, Diptera, Calliphoridae.